AGUUUGAUCAUGGCUCAGACUUGAACGCUGGCGGAAUGCUUUACACAUGCAAGUCGAACGGCAGCACGGGGCAACCUGGUGGCGAGUGGCGAACGGGUGAGUAAUACAUCGGAACGUGCCCAAUCGUGGGGAUAACGUAGCGAAAGUUACGCUAAUACCGCAUACGAUCUACGGAUGAAAGCGGGGGAUCGCAAGACCUCGCGCGAGUGGAGCGGCCGAUGUCAGAUUAGGUAGUUGGUGGGGUAAAGGCUCACCAAGCCAACGAUCUGUAGCUGGUCUGAGAGGACGACCAGCCACACUGGAACUGAGACACGGUCCAGACUCCUACGGGAGGCAGCAGUGGGGAAUUUUGGACAAUGGGCGCAAGCCUGAUCCAGCCAUUCCGCGUGCAGGAUGAAGGCCUUCGGGUUGUAAACUGCUUUUGUACGGAACGAAACGGCGAGCUCUAAUACAGUUUGCUAAUGACGGUACCGUAAGAAUAAGCACCGGCUAACUACGUG
Molecule: ribosomal RNA, 500 nt
Filed under: uncultured bacterium
Lineage: Bacteria
Description: bacterial SSU rRNA
Rfam family: Bacterial small subunit ribosomal RNA
Source: RNAcentral